UGUGUACACUAAUACUGUAUUGGGUUAAGAAAAGAGCGGCUAACACUUCUGCAGACCCCUCACAUCCUGGACACAAUCGGUGUCAGUGUAUUGCUCAAACCUUCAGGGGCAGCGGCCACAGACGCAUGUCUUCUGGAUGGGCUGUACUGAAAUAAAGUUGAUUGUGUUUUGGUACAGUAACGAUAAAAGCAUUCUGCUUCUGAUUACAUUUAAUGUCUGUACACUGCGAGCAAAUAAAGCAGAGGUUAAAUUCC
This is a non-coding RNA of Poecilia reticulata (guppy), 254 nucleotides long. The record is from RefSeq and is a predicted model, not a curated record. Lineage: Eukaryota; Metazoa; Chordata; Actinopteri; Cyprinodontiformes; Poeciliidae.